UCUCAUAACACUAUUAUAAUACUUAGAUAUUAACGCCACAAAGGCAAAGGAAAUGAGUCACCACCCAAGUAAUAAUCGGGACAAAUUCGUAAGAAGGGAUGUGGGUGGUAACUUACCCCUUACAGAGGUCUACUACCCUUCUUUUACCAUAAGCCCAAUAGCCUAGAUUCGGGAUAGUGCGUACGAGAGAAGGAAGGUGUUAG
Molecule: unclassified non-coding RNA, 203 nt
Filed under: Hevea brasiliensis (rubber tree)
Lineage: Eukaryota; Viridiplantae; Streptophyta; Magnoliopsida; Malpighiales; Euphorbiaceae
Source: RNAcentral